UACGUAGGCAGCAAGCGUUGUUCGGAAUUACUGGGCGUAAAGCGUGUGUAGGCGGUGCUCUAAGUCUGUUGUGAAAUCUCCCGGCUUAACUGGGAGGGUGCGGCGGAGACUGGAGUGCUAGAGUGUGGGAGAGGUAAGCGGAAUUCCUGGUGUAGCGGUGAAAUGCGUAGAUAUCAGGAGGAACACCUGUGGUGUAGACAGCUUACUGGACCACGACUGACGCUGAGACACGAAAGCGUGGGUAGCAAACAGG
RNAcentral lists this ribosomal RNA (253 nucleotides) under uncultured bacterium. RNAcentral describes it as "partial 16S ribosomal RNA". It matches the Rfam family "Bacterial small subunit ribosomal RNA", at positions 524 to 776 of the family's 1533-position model. The record is from RNAcentral.